UUGACCUCGGAACAGGU
This 17-nucleotide ribosomal RNA is filed under the name Fusarium oxysporum f. sp. dianthi. RNAcentral describes it as "partial 28S ribosomal RNA". RNAcentral also lists the same sequence under 3 other names. Lineage: Eukaryota; Fungi; Ascomycota; Sordariomycetes; Hypocreales; Nectriaceae. The record is from RNAcentral.